AUUCCUACGGGAGGCAGCAGUAGGGAAUUUUCGGCAAUGGGCGAAAGCCUGACCGAGCAACGCCGCGUGAACGAAGAAGGUCUUCGGAUUGUAAAGUUCUGUUAUAGAGGAAGAAUGGUGUACGUAGGAAAUGGCGUACAAAUGACGGUACUCUGUGAGGAAGCCACGGCUAACUACGUGCCAGCAGCCGCGGUAAUACGUAGGUGACAAGCGUUGUCCGGAUUUACUGGGUGUAAAGGGCGCGUAGGCGGGAUAGCAAGUCAGUCGUGAAAUGCCGAGGCUUAACCUCGGAGCUGCGAUUGAAA
RNAcentral lists this ribosomal RNA (305 nucleotides) under uncultured bacterium. Its description in RNAcentral is "bacterial SSU rRNA". It matches the Rfam family "Bacterial small subunit ribosomal RNA", at positions 335 to 632 of the family's 1533-position model. The record is from RNAcentral.